GACGAACGCUGGCGGCGUGCUUAACACAUGCAAGUCGAACGGUGAAGCGAGUGCUUGCACUCGUGGAUCAGUGGCGAACGGGUGAGUAACACGUGAGUAACCUGCCCAUCACUCUGGGAUAAGCACUGGAAACGGUGUCUAGUACUGGAUACGACCAACCCUUGCAUGGGGUGUUGGUGGAAAGAUUUAUCGGUGAUGGAUGGACUCGCGGCCUAUCAGCUUGUUGGCGGGGUAAUGGCCCACCAAGGCGACGACGGGUAGCCGGCCUGAGAGGGUGACCGGCCACACUGGGACUGAGACACGGCCCAGACUCCUACGGGAGGCAGCAGUGGGGAAUAUUGCACAAUGGGCGAAAGCCUGAUGCAGCGACGCCGCGUGAGGGAUGACGGCCUUCGGGUUGUAAACCUCUUUCAGCAGGGAAGAAGCGAAAGUGACGGUACCUGCAGAAGAAGCACCGGCUAACUACGUG
RNAcentral lists this ribosomal RNA (469 nucleotides) under uncultured bacterium. RNAcentral describes it as "partial 16S ribosomal RNA". It matches the Rfam family "Bacterial small subunit ribosomal RNA", at positions 28 to 507 of the family's 1533-position model. The record is from RNAcentral.